RNAcentral lists this ribosomal RNA (404 nucleotides) under Pseudomonas sp. RNAcentral's name for it is "partial 16S ribosomal RNA". It matches the Rfam family "Bacterial small subunit ribosomal RNA", at positions 355 to 776 of the family's 1533-position model. Lineage: Bacteria; Pseudomonadati; Pseudomonadota; Gammaproteobacteria; Pseudomonadales; Pseudomonadaceae. RNAcentral also lists the same sequence under 3 other names. The record is from RNAcentral.
UGGGGAAUAUUGGACAAUGGGCGCAAGCCUGAUCCAGCCAUGCCGCGUGAGUGAUGAAGGCCCUAGGGUUGUAAAGCUCUUUCACCGGUGAAGAUAAUGACGGUAACCGGAGAAGAAGCCUCGGCUAACUUCGUGCCAGCAGCCGCGGUAAUACGAAGGGGGCUAGCGUUGUUCGGAUUUACUGGGCGUAAAGCGCACGUAGGCGGACUUUUAAGUCAGGGGUGAAAUCCCGGGGCUCAACCCCGGAACUGCCUUUGAUACUGGAAGUCUUGAGUAUGGUAGAGGUGAGUGGAAUUCCGAGUGUAGAGGUGAAAUUCGUAGAUAUUCGGAGGAACACCAGUGGCGAAGGCGGCUCACUGGACCAUUACUGACGCUGAGGUGCGAAAGCGUGGGGAGCAAACAGG